GAUGAACGCUGGCGGCGUGCCUAAUACAUGCAAGUCGAGCGAACAGAUAAGGAGCUUGCUCCUUUGACGUUAGCGGCGGACGGGUGAGUAACACGUGGGUAACCUACCUAUAAGACUGGGAUAACUUCGGGAAACCGGAGCUAAUACCGGAUAACAUUUGGAACCGCAUGGUUCUAAAGUGAAAGAUGGUUUUGCUAUCACUUAUAGAUGGACCCGCGCCGUAUUAGCUAGUUGGUAAGGUAACGGCUUACCAAGGCAACGAUACGUAGCCGACCUGAGAGGGUGAUCGGCCACACUGGAACUGAGACACGGUCCAGACUCCUACGGGAGGCAGCAGUAGGGAAUCUUCCGCAAUGGGCGAAAGCCUGACGGAGCAACGCCGCGUGAGUGAUGAAGGGUUUCGGCUCGUAAAACUCUGUUAUUAGGGAAGAACAAACGUGUAAGUAACUGUGCACGUCUUGACGGUACCUAAUCAGAAAGCCACGGCUAACUACAUG
RNAcentral lists this ribosomal RNA (497 nucleotides) under uncultured bacterium. RNAcentral's name for it is "partial 16S ribosomal RNA". It matches the Rfam family "Bacterial small subunit ribosomal RNA", at positions 28 to 507 of the family's 1533-position model. The record is from RNAcentral.